RNAcentral lists this long non-coding RNA (624 nucleotides) under Medicago truncatula (barrel medic). RNAcentral's name for it is "long non-coding RNA (MTRU_LNC007845)". Lineage: Eukaryota; Viridiplantae; Streptophyta; Magnoliopsida; Fabales; Fabaceae. The record is from RNAcentral.
UUAAGUGUAUAAUUUUUUUGAAGAAAUAAGUGUCCAAUUUAGUAGGACAAUAAAUGCCCAUUUAGAUAUAAACAACAUGAGUAGAUGAAUGUAACCAACUCCUAGUACACACAAACUGUAUAUAUAUAUGUUACAUAAAAUCCCAGUCAAGACAUCAAUUUGAAAGAGACAAAUUAAAUACAUUCAUCUAUAAAAAAUAAAAUAAAAACAUACAAAAAGAAAAUGACAGUAUAUCAAACCACAAGCACAAAACAUUUUUUAUUUCAUAAAAACGUGGCAACUUUCUUUGUUAUGAUCAUGAAUGGUUUUUUUUUAUUGAGUUGAGAGAGUUUCCCCGUUAAUGCCCUGGUCCAUCAGGGCUAGGACCAGAGUUGUCAAUUUCCAGUCUCCUAAUGUUUUUAUUCUGUUUAUGACCUUCCACAACCAAGGAGUUCUUCACAACCAUAUUGUGUGGUGAUUUCAUAAAGAUACUCUCUUUUAGUUCCAAGGUGUUCAGUGGCCUUGACAUCCCAUAUUGGAUGCACAACAAGGACAAAGAAAGAAAAAUAAGGAAGAAGUUAAAGUAUUGGUGUUUUCCAACCAUGACUAUUGUAGUAUUUAGGUUUGGAGAUAUGUAUGAUUUUG